Molecule: ribosomal RNA, 495 nt
Filed under: uncultured bacterium
Lineage: Bacteria
Description: partial 16S ribosomal RNA
Rfam family: Bacterial small subunit ribosomal RNA
Source: RNAcentral
GACGAACGCUGGCGGCGUGCCUAAUACAUGCAAGUAGAACGCUGAAGGAGGAGCUUGCUUCUCUGGAUGAGUUGCGAACGGGUGAGUAACGCGUAGGUAACCUGCCUGGUAGCGGGGGAUAACUAUUGGAAACGAUAGCUAAUACCGCAUAAUAGCAGUUGUUGCAUGACAACUGUUUGAAAGGUGCAAUUGCACCACUACCAGAUGGACCUGCGUUGUAUUAGCUAGUUGGUGGGGUAACGGCUCACCAAGGCGACGAUACAUAGCCGACCUGAGAGGGUGAUCGGCCACACUGGGACUGAGACACGGCCCAGACUCCUACGGGAGGCAGCAGUAGGGAAUCUUCGGCAAUGGACGGAAGUCUGACCGAGCAACGCCGCGUGAGUGAAGAAGGGUUUCGGAUCGUAAAGCUCUGUUGUAAGAGAGGAACGAGUGUGAGAGUGGAAAGUUCACACUGUGACGGUAUCUUACCAGAAAGGGACGGCUAACUACGUG